AAGCAGUAAAGAAUGGAUGUUGGAGAAGAAAGGGGGUUAUCUCUGGACUUCUGGGAAAACCAAAAAGAAGAUACCCAUAAUCCUCAACCUCCUAACUU
This 98-nucleotide long non-coding RNA is filed under the name Peromyscus maniculatus bairdii (prairie deer mouse). RNAcentral describes it as "ZNFX1 antisense RNA 1 conserved region 2 (ENSPEMG00000007383.2)". It matches the Rfam family "ZNFX1 antisense RNA 1 conserved region 2". Lineage: Eukaryota; Metazoa; Chordata; Mammalia; Rodentia; Cricetidae. The record is from RNAcentral.